GCUAUGAUGCAUCUCGUUGUGUUGAUUGUCGAAAAUGAUAGCGCAUUGUCCUCUAAGAAGUUCUGAGCUU
Sorex araneus (European shrew) is the source of this 70-nucleotide small nucleolar RNA. RefSeq annotates it as small nucleolar RNA SNORD61. The transcript has a single exon. The record is from RefSeq and is a predicted model, not a curated record. Lineage: Eukaryota; Metazoa; Chordata; Mammalia; Eulipotyphla; Soricidae.